This 23-nucleotide non-coding RNA is filed under the name Cricetulus griseus (Chinese hamster). The record is from RNAcentral. Lineage: Eukaryota; Metazoa; Chordata; Mammalia; Rodentia; Cricetidae.
CUACGAUGGGAUCAAGCGGCUCU